This 5142-nucleotide long non-coding RNA is filed under the name Medicago truncatula (barrel medic). RNAcentral describes it as "long non-coding RNA (MTRU_LNC001570)". The record is from RNAcentral. Lineage: Eukaryota; Viridiplantae; Streptophyta; Magnoliopsida; Fabales; Fabaceae.
ACUCAAACUCACACAACUAACUUAGCAUCUCCUAGCUAAUUCCAUUAUCUUUUUUUCAACGUCAUAUUUCAAGACACUAACUUUUCUUCAUUCUCAACCAAAAUGGCAUCCAUUUCCAUUGCCAUUGCCACAAAGAGCAUUAAGAAUGUAUAUGAUGGAGGUGAAUGGUUUGGUUAUGCAUCUGUAGCUUGCAUUGAAGAUUAUCACAUUGGAGAUGUGGAUUCAUACAAGGAAGGUGAUGAUGACGAUGAUGGUGGCUAUGACUAUGCUCCUGCUGCUUAAACUCUCUAAUGUAUUAUGUAGAUGUAGUGUAAGAAUUUUGGUUGAACUAACUUAACCGUAUAAAACCGACUUGUUAUUUGAUGAUUGUCUUGCUUAUAAACUUUUAGUGAGGUCUUAUCUCAUUCCAUAUGUGACACUCGAUAUUAUUAUUAGCUAACUAUUAUUGAUUAACAAAAUGUAUGCUCCAAAUCUUUGUUUAAUUUGAUGAUUUUAAUUUGCUUAGUUAUUAUGGUCAUAGAAUAGAGUUGAUCUAGUGAGAUGGUAUUUGAUCCAUCACUUCAUUUAUAUACUUUAAAAUAGUAAAUGAAAGAUACGAGUAGAAUUCACAAAAUAUAAGGCCGUUUGUUUGGGAUUUUUUUUUGAAAAAAAAAAACUAUUUUUUAAACAAAAAAAAUCAGUUUUUUAUUUUAAUUUUGUAGUGUUUGUUUCAUAUUUUUAAAAAAUCUAUUUUGUUAAAAAUAAAAUUAACCUCAAAAUAAAAAGCUAUUUUCAGUAGCUUUUUUAAAAUCUUUUUUUUUUUUCUAAAAAUAACAUCUUGAUUGUAGUCAAAAUAGAAUUUGGAUUGCGAUCAUAAUCAAUUAUGAAAUGCUUACAAGCCCAAAUGGACAAACCUAGCUGACAAAGAAUUUAGACUAUUAUUUUUUCCACCCUAUUUCUUUCUCACACAUCCUAUUUUUUCGAAAAUACUCUUUGUUCUGAUUUCUUAAUUCAAAUCAUAUUGUAUGAAUUUUUCGAUUGGGCAAUCCAAAACGGAAUAAAGCCAAGAAAAUAUGUUGUGAUUGAUAUCAAAGGUCUCUGCUAACCCGCGUACGAUCCCUCUAAAGCAAUUUCAAAGAUCGUAUGAACGGUUAGCGAUGACUAAGAUAUGAUAAAACACUCCUAACUAAAAAAACGAGAAAACAAAUGUAAGAAUGGAUGAGAAGUGAAAAAGGAAUGAAUAUGUUGAAGCAUGGAAAGCUAUUCAUAGCCAUAAACAUAUCCUAGAUUGUAAACAUAGUCAAAGGAAACAUUUACAAUGUCUAAAUCGACCAAAAAUGCAUUACACACCACAAACCGUCCAAAGCUUUCAUGCAAUGCCACCUUCCACAGUCUGGCAGGGUUUGGAUUAUAUAUGUUGAACACUUCAGAAGCAGUUCAAAUUAUGUAAUUUGAAUUGUCUUAGACUGUGCUUAAGCUUGACAUUUGGUGAAAAAAGUAAAUGACAUAAUUCAACAGCGUAAAACAACGUAAUUAGAGAAGUCGUGAUAAAAGGGAAGGUGUUCCAAGAGAUGGUUUUCAACUUAAUCUAGUUGACCUAUCAACUAACAUAUUUUUGUCGCGGGGGCAACUGGAUCAAGUUCACCACAACCUCUUCGUAGUCUGAAUAAAGAUGAAAUGCAAGGUGAUUCAACAGGUUUUUUUAGCUAGAUCAUGUUGUCUUUCCAACGACAUAUUUCUAUUGGCAUGACAACAAGAUCUAGUUCAUAACAACCUCUUGGUGUUCAUAUCCACAAGAUAAUUUUUCAAAGUUCUUUUAUGUGUUUUACAGCAAAUAAGCCAAACAAGUUUAUUUGUACAAGUUUUUGUGUAUGGUGACCACAAAAAAUGUAGGUACAAUGUGGACCACAUAAAAAUCUUGUAUUUGACAGAUUCGGAUUAUAUAAGUUGAUUUGUCCUUCACCCUACAAAGUACAAGUUUUAACACAUGAAAUUUAAUUUCAGCAACAUACAUUAAAUAAAACAAUCGCAAAUACAUCAAACGACUUAAUUCAACAACUUAAAACACAUAAUAAAACAAAACAUAAUAGAUCACGCAUCAACCAAACUAACUUCUUCAUCGGGUUCCUCCAUCAGAGCCUUGAUUUCUUCGUAUGUUCUUGGCCGAAUCAAACUUUUCCUAAUAUCUUUGAAAGAUCUGACCAAAGAAGCGUCCAACUCAGUUGGUCCAUUAGUAUUUUAUUGACUAAAUAUUGAGAACAUGGCUCUCACGUCGUCGUCUCUCAUGAGCUUCAUCUGCAGUAACUGCACUCUUUUGGCUCAGCCGAUCGAUGGACGUCAAUAAUUAACAUCGUCCACCCUUCUUCUGUCUUUGUGGUUGAGUUGUUGGUUGAUUUAAUUCAGUUGAUCAUUCAUCCCAGAGAGUGUGACAUCAUUCUGAACCCUAAAUAUAUGAGUUUUCCCACAUUGUAGUAACCUGCAGCUAGUUUGGUGUUCAGAUCAAUGAUCAAAGUGUACAUGGUUAUUUGGUGUGGUUUACAACAUAUGAAAAAACACACACUAAUUUAUAAUAGUUUUUGUUCGUCAUGGACCACAGAAAUUGUCAGUGCAAUGUGGACCUCAUAAAAUAUCAUGUACUCUUUCUCACUCUAUAAAGUAUGAAUUUUAACACAGUCUUGAACGAGUUCAGAUUAUAUAAUCCAAACAUUUUUGGGAUGUGUUCAAAUUAUAUAAUCUGAACUAGUUGAGAUUUCAGAUGGUUACUUGCUUAGUAAAACUAACUCAAUGAACACGUUUAUCUUUGUUCAUACUAGUUACAUUGACUAGCUAGACCAAUUUUAACACGUUGUUUAACCCUAAUUUAUGUACUUUAACACUUUAUGCAUCAUCCUUCACAAAAACUUUCCUUUAAAUUGCCACCAAUCCUUCACGAAUCUCAUUCAUCAUCUCACAAUCUCUCAUUCUAUUUUCUUCUGCAAUGUGCUUCUACUGUUGUCCUUCAUACAAAAAGGUUACUAUAUUAUUUUAGUGAUUGUAUGAACGGUUCAUAACCCUAACUCGUGUAUUGUUAGAUAUAGUCUAUGCACCAUCCUUCACAAAAUCUCCUCUACAAAUACCCAUCAAUCCUUCACGAAUUCUCAUUUCAUCAUCUCACAUUUUCUCCUUCUCUUUUCUUCUACAAUGUGCUUCCACCAAUGGUCUUUCAUAAAAAUAAAAUGGUUACUCUAGUAUUUUUGUGAUUGUAUGAACGGUCAGCGGACAUGGUGCCACUCUACAAAUUUGCACCGUUUGGUUGAGUGCAAGGUUGAUAUGUAUGGUUGUAUGGUUAACUAUCAAAGCCUCAUUCUCCCGAGAGAGGAAAGAAAGUGUACCUCAAACCUCCUUCUCUCUCCAUCUUCCUCUCCUUCCCCUCCAUCUUCUUGUACCAUAUGUUUAGCAAUAUUUAUUUAAUAAUUUUUGUGUAAUGUAAAUGUACUAUGAAAGAUAAGGUUAAUAUUGUUUUACCCCCUGUAAUAUAGACAGAACUCGCUAGGACAUUGAAACACAACACAAAAUUUCGAAUCAAUAUACGUUCAUAUGAAUUUGUUGCGUUAAGAGGAUUAAAAUUUUAAAAAACGCUACUAAAUUCCAACACUUUUUUUUUUGUGUUAAAGAAGUAACUCCUUUCUUCCAUAACCUGAGACGGAAAAACAAAACAUUAGCAAAAUGCAAUGAUAGAAAAUCACUGAGACACAUGGCCUAGUCAAUGAAUAAGAACUAGAAAAUAUCUAAAUUAGUUCUUGAAAUUGUGUAUUGAAUCAAUCUAGUCCCUUACAUUGUCAAUAUUCUAAAGUGAUCAAUGAAAUUCCAAAUAAAUUUAACCAAGUGUGUCCCUCCUUUAGUAAUUGUAUCUACUAGAACAACAUUAAAUUGGUAAUGUCAAUGAUGGAUUAAAAACUAAGAAUAAUGUCAUAUAUGCAUUUUAUUAACUAAUCCAAACAGAAGGACGAACUUAAUUAACAUUUUGCAAUUAAUGGAUCAUUUUGAAAUAUUGAUAAUGUGAGAGACUAAGUUAAUACAACCUUACAAUUUCAAGGAUCAUUUUGGAUGCUAGUGUUUAGCAUCAACGCCUUUAUUGUCGUCACUUUUUUGGAUGCUAUGUUGAUGCUAAAAGUUUUGUAUCCAUUUUUUGCCUCAUAGCAUCCUGUUUCUGCUGACGCUAAAACACAUUUUUCUUGUAGUACAUCAUCUUAGUAUCUCGUCUUUGCUCCACCACAAUUGUUUAAUCCAAAAAUCUCACGUUUUCUCGUUAAAAGUUAAAAGAAAUAUAUAUGUUUUUUUAUCAAAUCCACCAUAUUAACGAUAGAUUCCAGAGCUCUUUGAUUGGUAAUUGGUAAUUAUGCUUGGUGAAAUCACUCUCUAUUCCCUAACACUUUAUAUAACCAUGCAUCCACUCAAAGAUUCUAUCAUUUUAUUGGCUGUUUUUUCCGACGUGUAAGAGGUUUUCCAAUGUGGCUAAACAAAAUCGCAUCACACAUGAGGCACCAAGCCAUGCUCACACUUUUAAGCAUAAAUCCACACUCCUUUUGUGACAUUCAUGUGCCAUAAUCACUCCAACAAUCUCUCUUCUUGUUAUAUAAACACCAACAUGGUCUCUAACAACCCUAACUCAAAACACAACUACCUUAGUUAGCAUCUCCUAGCUAAUUCUGUAAUCUUCUUGUCAACCUCACAUUUCAAGACACUAACUUUUUUUCUUCAUUCUCAACCAAAAUGGCCUCCAUUUCCAUUCCCACAAGGAGCAUUAAGAAUGCAUGUGGUGAAGGUGAAUGGUUUGGUUUUGCAUCUGUAUCUUGCAAUGAUGAAGAUUACCACACUGGAGAUGUAGAUUCAUACAGGGAAGGUGAUGAUGACGACGAUGGUGAUUAUGAUUAUGCUCCCGCCGCUUAAACUCUAAUGCACUAGUAUCACUUAACUAUUAGUGUAACAAUUUUGGUUGAGCCUAAUUUAACCCUACAAAACCGACUUGUAAGUUAAUGAUUGUCUCCAUUUAUAAACUUAUGGUGGGGUCUCAUUUGUUGUGUGACUCUUAAUACCAGCUGACUAGUACUAAUUAACAAAAUGUAUGUUUCAAAUCUUUGUCAUAGAAUUGACUUGAGCUAGUAAGAUGGUAUUUGAUCCUUC